This 1903-nucleotide long non-coding RNA is filed under the name Acyrthosiphon pisum (pea aphid). Its description in RNAcentral is "uncharacterized LOC103308662". The record is from RNAcentral. Lineage: Eukaryota; Metazoa; Arthropoda; Insecta; Hemiptera; Aphididae.
AUAAAUCUGUUUCCGUCGUAACUCAUAAUAUAUUACAAUAUUAUUAUUUAGGUAGGUACCUAUUAUUAUUGUUUAUGUGGCGUCAACUGUUUGCUUUUCUCACACAAAUGUUUCAUAAUAAUAUAUUAAUAUGAGCAUUGGGUUUUCUUCCGAGAUCAUAAUAUUAUAAUAUCGUAGUAUCGUGAUAUACUCGUCGCAUAUUUAUGUAAUGAGUAUACUCGCCUAUGCGCGGAUUUCGUAUUUCAACCAGCGACUCGUCGCUAAUAUGUUUCUAAAAAUGUUUAUAUGGCCGAUAUAGGGCUAUGGUUCCAUCCAUAGUAUAAAUGUAUAAUACUACGGUUUUCUUAAACUCGGCCUUUACCAUCAGUCGUCCAUCGACAGGUGUUAAUUGUUUCAGUUUCUUUGUUGUACUUUUUUUUUUGUUGCCUCCGACCGCCAGCAAAACAUCUGCCGGGUGCGGACCAUAUUAUCAUAAAGACAUCGCAGUGCCGCACGAAUAAUAUAAAUGUCGUAAUUGCCAGCCGAGCUGUGAUCGAGAUGAAUAUUAAAUGAUAAUGUUUCAGUGAACCCAAGCCCAAGGCAAAUAAUUUAUUUAACUUACUUGCGCACCUACGUCUUACCUCUCUUAUUAAAUUAUUAUUAUUAUUAUUAUUAUUAUGACGCGAGGGCCUUCAUUUCUCCACGAAGUCAGCAAGUAGUGUAAAGACGGUUGGUCACACUGGUUUGAUGAAGCCGGUCGGGCGGCGCAUCGCGGCGGCGGCGACCUCGGGUCGGCUUGCCGCAGCGGGCGCAGCUCGCCGUUCUUCAGUCUUUCGCUUUGGCCUGAGCGUUAUCUACGUCGGUUAAUUUCUCAGUUUUUUUCAACUGGCCGUUUCUCAUUUUUGUCGUCUACGGCAUCGCACAUAAUCACUUCGCUAAUCGUCCGUCGACUAUAUCACCUCUCUCUGCGACAUCAACCGUAUUUGCUUAGUGUUGACGUGUCACACGGUUAGUCAGUCGGCAGAAUGGAACCACUGGAAAUUGGACCUUGUGAACGAUCGGGUGUAACGACGUUCCCUUUCACCGCCGGCUCGACGACACGUAGACAACAACAACUGUCGCCGCCGCCGCCGCUGCCGACUCCCCUCCGCGCAACGCCUGACUCGGAAUGCCGACUGACGACGUACAAUAAUUAUUGAACGUGUACUGCGUAGCAGCGUCGUACGGCAUAGGUGCACUGCGGACCGGUCGGCCAUUUAUCUCCAAACUUCACUUCUUCCUCGUCGGUACGUCCUGCUGUGUGCGCACUGUUUGUCUCGUCGUCUCCAAAAACCGCCGGUGAUUGUUUUCCGUUCUGUACGCCAUCGGCCGGCAGGUAUCAUUCCGACAGCGAGAACUUGUGUAUUUGGUACCGGCGAUUGCAGAAUUUCAGUCUUGUCAUGAAAGCCUGUCCUACGGACAAUGACCACAUCUAUAUCAACGCCAUGGCUGUUCGUCGUGCAGGGUAUCCGGAACUGUUACAUUGUUACUGGUUUGCAUGUUAUAAGUUUAGCCUUUAACCCAAAAUAUUCUUAUGUCAUGAAUAAUGAUAAUAUAAAAUACUAUUAAAAAUAGUUUUUCAUCAUAUUUGACAUGAGCUGAUUAUUUCCCAUGUACAAAAUACGUACUAACCAACAGUAUGACAAUCUUCCGCUAUGCACAUAGAAGUGUAUCAAAGAAACACAGUAGAGGGGCCCACAUAAGAGGUUCAUUGUUUUUAAGGAUUAAAAUGUUUCUGUGAUAACAUUAAAAUUGAAAUAUUUAUCACUAGAUCGUGUAUUAUUUUCUGAAUUCAGAGACAUUAAAAUGCAUUUUUUUGGUUUAUUUCACAUAAGAGGCUAUUAGCUUUGCCCUGAGCAACAUCAUGUUUAAUUUAAUGCAUUUG